CCUACGGGUGGCAGCAGUGGGGAAUAUUGCACAAUGGGGGGAACCCUGAUGCAGCGACGCCGCGUGAGUGAAGAAGUAUUUCGGUAUGUAAAGCUCUGUCAGCAGGGAACAAAGGCGGGGACGCGUCCCCGGAUGAGUGUACCUGAAGAAAAAGCAUCGGCUAACUCCGUGCCAGCAGCCGCGGUAAUACGGAGGAUGCGAGCGUUAUCCGGAUUUAUUGGGUUUAAAGGGUGCGCAGGCGGUCUGUUAGGUCAGCGGUCAAAGCCCGGGGCUCAACCCCGGCCCGCCGUUGAUACUGGCAGUCUCGAGUUGGAGAGAAGUAUGCGGAAUGCGCGGUGUAGCGGUGAAAUGCAUAGAUAUCGCGCAGAACUCCGAUUGCGAAGGCAGCAUGCCGGCUCCACACUGACGCUGAGGCACGAAAGCGUGGGUAUCGAACAGGAUUAGAUACCCCAGUAGUC
RNAcentral lists this ribosomal RNA (458 nucleotides) under uncultured bacterium. Its description in RNAcentral is "partial 16S ribosomal RNA". It matches the Rfam family "Bacterial small subunit ribosomal RNA", at positions 338 to 795 of the family's 1533-position model. The record is from RNAcentral.